This 600-nucleotide ribosomal RNA is filed under the name uncultured bacterium. RNAcentral describes it as "bacterial SSU rRNA". It matches the Rfam family "Bacterial small subunit ribosomal RNA", at positions 169 to 721 of the family's 1533-position model. The record is from RNAcentral.
UCAUGAACAUAGUGGCGUUCGCAUGAAGUAGCUAUCGAAAGGAGCAAAUCCGCUGAAGGAUGGGCCCGCGUCUGAUUAGUGUAGUUGGUGAGUGUAAGUGGCUCACCAAGCCUACGAUCAGUCACCCGGUCUGAGUAGGAUCGAAUCGGCCAACCACUGCAAGCUCGACGUACACAGGUCCAGACUCCUACGUGGAGGCAGCAGUGGGGAAUAUUGCUGCAAUGGGGGAAACCCUGANNGCAUGCAACGCCGCGUGGAGGAAGAAGGCCUUCGGGUUGUAAGACUCCUGUCAUUCUGGGACGAAAGAAAAUGGACGGUACCAAAUGAGGAAUGCCAUCGGCUAAUCUACUGUGCCAGAAGACCGCGGUGAAUACGUCAGGUGGGCGAGCGUUGUCCGGAAUUAUUGGGGCGGUAAAGGGCGCCGCUAGGGCUGGCCUUUGUCAAUGUCAGAUGUUGAAACCCCCGGGGGUUUAAAUUUGGGGGCAUGGCAUUUCGAAAGCUGGCAAGGGGUUGAUUGCCUGGAAGGUCAGGUCGGAAUUCCUUAAUUGUUACGGUGGAAAUUGCGUAAUCUUUAGGGAGGAACAACCAAUUGGUCGAAAA